Molecule: ribosomal RNA, 320 nt
Filed under: uncultured soil bacterium
Lineage: Bacteria
Description: bacterial SSU rRNA
Rfam family: Bacterial small subunit ribosomal RNA
Source: RNAcentral
AGGACGAACGCUGGCGGCGUGCUUAACACAUGCAAGUCGAGCGGAAAGGCCCUUCGGGGUACUCGAGCGGCGAACGGGUGAGUAACACGUGAGUAAUCUGCCCAUCGCUUCAGGAUAGCCAUCGGAAACGGUGAUUAAUACUGGAUAUGACAUUCCUUCGCAUGUUGGGUGUGGAAAGUUUUUCGGCGGUGGAUGUGCUCGCGCUAUCAGCUUGUGGUGGGUAUGGCCUACAGGCUUUGCGGUAGCCGGCUGAGAGGGUGACCGGCACGACGUGGGACUGACGACGACGCCCAGACUCCGACGGGAGCAGCGAGUGGGAU